GGGUGUAGCUCAGAGUCGUAGAGUGCAUGUCUAGCAUGCAUGAGGUCCUGGGUUCAAUCCCCAGUACCUCCA
RNAcentral lists this transfer RNA (72 nucleotides) under Camelus bactrianus (Bactrian camel). It matches the Rfam family "tRNA". Rfam says of the family: Transfer RNA (tRNA) molecules are approximately 80 nucleotides in length. Their secondary structure includes four short double-helical elements and three loops (D, anti-codon, and T loops). Further hydrogen bonds mediate the characteristic L-shaped molecular structure. tRNAs have two regions of fundamental functional importance: the anti-codon, which is responsible for specific mRNA codon recognition, and the 3' end, to which the tRNAs corresponding amino acid is attached (by aminoacyl-tRNA synthetases). tRNAs cope with the degeneracy of the genetic code in two manners: having more than one tRNA (with a specific anti-codon) for a particular amino acid; and 'wobble' base-pairing, i.e. permitting non-standard base-pairing at the 3rd anti-codon position. The record is from Rfam by way of RNAcentral. RNAcentral also lists the same sequence under 2 other names. Lineage: Eukaryota; Metazoa; Chordata; Mammalia; Artiodactyla; Camelidae.